CAGCGACUGGACAACUUCUGAGUCCGAUCAGGUGAGGGCACGUCCUCUUAUAAACGCCGCCGACACCUUUGUUUUGCUUUUGGCCUGGAGCGAUGACGGCACUCGACACGCUCGCUUGGGGACGGAUCCCAGCCCAUGUAAAAAUUUGAUGAAAGCUCUCCAUGACUUUAAAUGGGUUUAUUUUGCUCUUUGACUUUUGGAGUUUCCAAAUUUUUUUCCUUCUCUUGGAUGUACAAUAUCCGAAAAUGUGGUUUCCUUCUUAAUUAAUGGAAUAUUUCAGACUCCCCAUGACUUUUAAAUUUUUUUAUAAAAAUAUUGAAAGGUACUUGCUUCUGGUUGGCACAUAUUUAAAAUCUGAGAAUAAUGAUUCUUUCUAACAACCAAAUCUCAGUCAGAGCAGUUAAUUUUAUACCUUCUUGAUCUUAGAUCUUUGAGAACUUUUAUUUUCCAUAAAAUUCUGGUCAUCAAUGGGGCUACCAGGGUCCAAUUUUUGUUCUUCAUAUUUUUUUAUAGAAAUCGAAGAGGAUUGAAGCUCUGAUUCGAAUAUGAUAUUCCGUUUGAAAAUCUGUUGUGAAAUGGCCAGGCUAUACCC
Molecule: long non-coding RNA, 592 nt
Organism: Drosophila ananassae
Lineage: Eukaryota; Metazoa; Arthropoda; Insecta; Diptera; Drosophilidae
Exons: 2
Source: RefSeq, a predicted model, not a curated record